This is a long non-coding RNA of Oncorhynchus tshawytscha (Chinook salmon), 2184 nucleotides long. The record is from Ensembl. NCBI's taxonomy places the organism in Eukaryota, Metazoa, Chordata, Actinopteri, Salmoniformes, Salmonidae.
GAAGAAACCUAGAGAGGAACCAGGCUAUGUGGGGUGGCCAGUCCUCUUCUGGCUGUGCCGGGUGGAGAUUAUAACAGAACAUGGCCAAGAUGAUUAGGUUAAUGGGGAGAGAUGGGAGGUAGUUAGAUAUGAGGAGAGAUUGGAGGUAGUUAGAUACUGGAUAAUUAGGUUAAUGGGGAGAGAUGGGAGGUAGUUAGAUAUGAGGAGAGAUUGGAGGUAGAUACUGGAAAAUCAGGUUAACGGUGGGAUAUGAGGAGAGAUGGGAGGUAGUUAGAUACUGGAGAAUCAGGUUAAUGGGGAGAGACGGGAGGUAGUUAGAAGAUAUAAAAUGUGAAGAUUUUAACACUGAUGCCAAAGACACACUUUGAAACACCUUCACGACAGAAGCUCAAGCAGAUGGAAAAUGUGAGAUUUGACUCUGAAAGAAAUGAAUGUUUUGUCCUGAAUAGAAUGUUGCCAUUUAUAUGUCAGAGCAAAAGCUCAGCAGGAAAAUACUGUAUUACUAGAUUGGGAAUCAAAACUGUCCCCUGGGAUAUUUUUGGCAGCACAACACCGUGUCAUCUGAAUGUUAAAUCGUGAUUUAUACUGUCUAUUUACAUUUAAUUCAGACAAGAGCUGAAAUAUUAGUAACAUGCUUGUCUCUAUGGUAAUAUACAGUAUAUUAUAAUGGUAACAUAUCAUGCUUGUCUCUAUGGUAAUAUACAGUAUAUUAUAAUAUUAGUAACAUAUCAUGCUUGUCUCUAUGGUAAUAUACGGUAUAUUAUAAUAUUAGUAACAUGCUUGUCUCUCUGGUAAUAUACAGUAUAUUAUAAUAUUAGUAACAUGCUUGUCUCUAUGGUAAUAUACAGUAUAUUAUAAUAUUAGUAACAUGCUUGUCUCUAUGGUAAUAUACAGUAUAUUAUAAUAUUAGUAACAUGCUUGUCUCUAUGGUAAUAUACAGUAUAUUAUAAUGGUAACAUAUCAUGCUUGUCUCUAUGGUAAUAUACAGUAUAUUAUAAUAUUAGUAACAUGCUUGUCUCAUUGGUAAUAUACAGUAUAUUAUAAUAUUAGUAACAUGCUUGUCUCUAUGGUAAUAUACAGUAUAUUAUAAUAUUAGUAACAUGCUUGUCUCUAUGGUAAUACAGUAUAUUAUAAUAUUAGUAACAUGCUUGUCUCUAUGGUAAUAUACAGUAUAUUAUAAUAUUAGUAACAUAUCAUGCUUGUCUCUAUGGUAAUAUACAGUAUAUUAUAAUAUUAGUAACAUAUCAUGCUUGUCUCUAUGGUAAUAUACAGUAUAUUAUAAUAUUAGUAACAUGCUUGUCUCUAUGGUAAUAUACAGUAUAUUAUAAUAUUAGUAUCAUGCUUGUCUCUAUGGUAAUACAGUAUAUUAUAAUAUUAGUAACAUGCUUGUCUCUAUGGUAAUAUACAGUAUAUUAUAAUAUUAGUAACAUGCUUGUCUCUAUGGUAAUAUACAGUAUAUUAUAAUGGUAACAUAUCAUGCUUGUCUCUAUGGUAAUAUACAGUAUAUUAUAAUAUUAGUAACAUGCUUGUCUCUAUGGUAAUAUACAGUAUAUUAUAAUAUUAGUAACAUAUCAUGCUUGUCUCUGGUAAUAUACAGUAUAUUAUAAUAUUAGUAACAUGCUUGUCUCUAUGGUAAUAUACAGUAUAUUAUAGCAUUAUAGAGAUAUAUGGAGUGCAGGACUAGGACUAUAGACAGUAUAUUAUAGCGUUAUGGAGAUAUAUGGAGUGCAGGACUAGGACUAUAGACAGUAUAUUAUAGCGUUAUGGAGAUAUAUGGAGUGCAGGACUAGGACUAUAGACAGUAUAUUAUAGCGUUAUGGAGAUAUAUGGAGUGCAGGACUAGGAGUAUAUACAAGCCAGCGUCACUGUAUUACAAUUAAUAGCUAUUGAGUUAAUGAAUAUAUUUAUUCCAUAUCAUGAUUAUGUCUUUCACUACUGUAGAGAGAGAAUUCUCCCCUUUAAAAACUUCUAGUAUGUGCUUGGCCAUUCUGAGCCUUAUGAGUCGAUGGUCUACCAUUCUGAGCCUUAUGAGUCGAUGGUCUACCAUUCUGAGCCUUAUGAAUGGAUGGUCUACCAUUCUGAGCCUUAUGAAUGGAUGGUCUACCAUUCUGAGCCUUGUGGAUGGAUGGUCUACCAUUCUGAGCCUUGUGGAUGGAUGGUCUACCAUUCUGAGCCUUGUGGAUG